This 425-nucleotide ribosomal RNA is filed under the name uncultured bacterium. RNAcentral describes it as "partial 16S ribosomal RNA". It matches the Rfam family "Bacterial small subunit ribosomal RNA", at positions 354 to 796 of the family's 1533-position model. The record is from RNAcentral.
GUUAGGAAUAUUGGACAAUGGGCGCAAGCCUGAUCCAGCCAUACCGCGUGAGUGAUGAAGGCCUUCGGGUUGUAAAGCUCUUUAGCCGAUGAUUAUAAUGACUGUAGUCGGAAAAUAAGCCCCGGCUAACUUCGUGCCAGCAGCCGCGGUAAUACGAAGGGGGCGAGCGUUAUUCGGAAUCACUGGGCGUAAAGCGUGCGUAGGCGGCUUUGCAAGUUGGGAGUGAAAGCCCAGGGCUCAACCCUGGAAUUGCUCUCAAAACUGCAAGGCUCGAAUUCGGGAGAGGAUAGCGGAAUUGUCAGUGUAGCAGUGAAAUGCGUAGAUAUUGACAGGAACACCAGUGGCGUAAGCGGCUAUCUGGACGAGUAUUGACGCUGAGGCACGAAAGCGUGGGGAUCAAACAGGAUUAGAAACCCCGGUAGUCC